RNAcentral lists this transfer RNA (69 nucleotides) under Makalata macrura (Long-tailed armored tree-rat). Its description in RNAcentral is "tRNA-Tyr". It matches the Rfam family "tRNA". From Rfam's summary of the family: Transfer RNA (tRNA) molecules are approximately 80 nucleotides in length. Their secondary structure includes four short double-helical elements and three loops (D, anti-codon, and T loops). Further hydrogen bonds mediate the characteristic L-shaped molecular structure. tRNAs have two regions of fundamental functional importance: the anti-codon, which is responsible for specific mRNA codon recognition, and the 3' end, to which the tRNAs corresponding amino acid is attached (by aminoacyl-tRNA synthetases). tRNAs cope with the degeneracy of the genetic code in two manners: having more than one tRNA (with a specific anti-codon) for a particular amino acid; and 'wobble' base-pairing, i.e. permitting non-standard base-pairing at the 3rd anti-codon position. Lineage: Eukaryota; Metazoa; Chordata; Mammalia; Rodentia; Echimyidae. The record is from RNAcentral.
GGUAGAGUGGCUGAGUUUAAGCAUUAGACUGUAAAUCUAAAUAUAAAGGUUGCAAUCCUUUUUCUAUCA